GAGGGGGCAAGGGGUUUAACUGUUAUGCUGUUAUGGGGCAAUUUAAUUCUUUGUUAUCUGUUAUUUUGAAAAUAUAUUCGCUGUUAGCUGUUAUUGUCUUAUUCUUUGUUAGCUGUUAUUGGGCUUUUAGUUUUUUUGUUAUCUGUUAUUGUGAUAAUUAAUGUAUUUGCUGUUAACUGUUAUUGAAAAUUGGAAUGUUAGCAUUUUUUUUGACAGUCAAUAUUCGGUAUAAAUUGAAGAUCAUUGGACAUUGGGGUCUACCACUACUGAUAUGUUUGUCCCGUAUUCAGAGAAGGAUUCCAUUAACAUAUACCCAUCACAGAAGUGAGGUCCAGGACAAUUCAAGUAUAUCUUAUGAUUAUCCUUUGUAAUAAAUUCCAUUUUUUUUUAUGAAUGUGUAUUUAGAAUUAUCUUAAUUUUUUGUAUGAGAAUAAUGUUCCUUGUUUCCCGUACGAACAUAUUAAAUUAAAACAAUUCUUAAUAUGACAAAAAGGAAAACAUAUGGCCAGGAAUAUCUGACAAGGAUCUCAAUUAAGGACUAGGUCCUAACAACCACUUAACCUUUUAUAUAAUAUGGUACAUAGACUCAGCUCUGUGAUUCUUUUCAAAGCAGAACCAAAUGCAUUGUACAAUGAAAGUUCCAACCAUGUACUUGGGUCCGAAGCUGCACAUAACUCAUUACAAACAAAGAUUUAUUUCGUUUCAAGCCAUUGUUGCCCUAC
This 722-nucleotide long non-coding RNA is filed under the name Mytilus galloprovincialis (Mediterranean mussel). Lineage: Eukaryota; Metazoa; Mollusca; Bivalvia; Mytilida; Mytilidae. The record is from RNAcentral.